Molecule: long non-coding RNA, 440 nt
Organism: Helicoverpa zea (corn earworm)
Lineage: Eukaryota; Metazoa; Arthropoda; Insecta; Lepidoptera; Noctuidae
Exons: 2
Source: RefSeq, a predicted model, not a curated record
UACGAUCCUAGUAAAAAGCUUUAGUUGUGACCAAGUCUAUGACCUGCGUACACGCUAAAUUAUUGUGGAUUUUAUUAAGUAAAAAAGUUUAAAGAUGCCUACAUGCGCGGUGAAAUGAUGCGAGAAACAAUCCAGGACAUCUAGUUACAAAAAAGGAUGGCAUUACUUUUCAUCGAUUUCCGAAGAUUCCAGAAAUAAAAGAGAAGUGGAUGGACACUAUCAAUAGGGAAAAUUGGUUUCCAACAAAGUGCAGCGUUGUUUGCUCAAGGCACUUCACCCCCGACUGUUUAGAAUAUUUAAAACAAUUUUGACGUUUAUUUAGUUCAGCGAUUCUAACAAUGUACCUAUACUAAAUUAAUACAUUUUAAGAAUCAAUAAUUUUCUUGUACGGAGUUCUUUUUUGUAAUAGACUGAUUUUUAUUAAAUAUUCUUCUAAGAUU